UACCAGCACCCCGAGUGGUCGGGACGAUUAUUGGGCCUAAAGCAUCCGUAGCCGGUUUUACAAGUCCUCCGUUAAAUCCAGCUGCUUAACAGAUGGGCUGCGGAGGAUACUAUAAGACUAGGAGGCAGGAGAGGCAAGCGGUACUCAGUGGGUAGGGGUAAAAUCCGUUGAUCCAUUGAAGACCACCAGUGGCGAAGGCGGCUUGCCAGAAUGCGCUCGACGGUGAGGGAUGAAAGCUGGGGGAGCAACCGG
This 252-nucleotide ribosomal RNA is filed under the name uncultured bacterium. RNAcentral's name for it is "partial 16S ribosomal RNA". It matches the Rfam family "Archaeal small subunit ribosomal RNA", at positions 474 to 726 of the family's 1478-position model. The record is from RNAcentral.